This is a small nuclear RNA of Pygocentrus nattereri (red-bellied piranha), 192 nucleotides long. Its record names the gene U2. It matches the Rfam family "U2 spliceosomal RNA". From Rfam's summary of the family: U2 is a small nuclear RNA (snRNA) component of the spliceosome (involved in pre-mRNA splicing). Complementary binding between U2 snRNA (in an area lying towards the 5' end but 3' to hairpin I) and the branchpoint sequence (BPS) of the intron results the bulging out of an unpaired adenosine, on the BPS, which initiates a nucleophilic attack at the intronic 5' splice site, thus starting the first of two transesterification reactions that mediate splicing. The record is from Ensembl. Lineage: Eukaryota; Metazoa; Chordata; Actinopteri; Characiformes; Serrasalmidae.
AUCCUUUUUCUGAUCCAGACAGAAAAAAAAAAAAAAAAAUCUGUUCUUAUCAGUUUAAUAUCUGAUACGUCCCCUACCCGGGGACCAUAUAUUAAAUAGAUUUUUGGAGCAGGGAGAUGGAAUAGGGGCUUGCUCCGUCCACUCCACGCAUCGACCCGGUAUUGCAGUACCUCCGGGAGCGGUGCACCCCCU